AAAGAGUUUAAUUCAAGGACUAAUAAAUUAUAAAAUACAUAGUAAGAAAUAGUAAAACAACAAUGACUUACCAUUCAAUAACUUUUUUCCAAGUACUUUAAGGAUAUGAGGAUGCAAUUAUACCUGGAGUAAUUUAAAAGUUUCUAAGUCAAGAUCAGUAUGAUACCAAUUCUCUGCCUGGUAGUCGAGACAAUCUAAUUGAAAAUCAAGCGCAAGUAACUUAGCCAUUUGCCGCUGAAUGCAUCCAAUUAUAUUAAAUCCCCUUAAGUUUGAGCUGUUAAGUUUAUUCCUGUCCUCAAGGCUUCUUCUGUUUUCUAAACUUUCUCUGCUAGCAACCAUCUCACAUUAGAUUUGGCAAAUAAGAAUAGCUUUCAACUUUUCAACUAGGACAAUUAAAUACAAAGUUGAUGCUAUAAGUAUUAGUACUACUUGUUAUGUUCAUAUUCACGCAGUCAAGUAAAGCUAGAGUUUUCUCUUUAGGGUCUGCUACGUCACUUUCCUGGAAUUAAAUUCAAGAACAGCAAAGCAACCGAGAAUGUGUGUGUGUGCAGCAUAAUUAUACUCUGAUGAAACAAGAUUGUAGUGCAGCAUAAAACUAAUUUUCUGUUUGUAAUUAAUAAAGAAAUCAAGCUAAACAUAAAACUAACCUCAAGGAGCAGCGGCUAAGUCGAGAACAGACCGGAAGAGCAGUGCACGUGCUGCCCUCCGAUUGAAGCAGCUAAUUCUGCUCCUGCCUCGUCUGGUGUACAGCCAGAGCAGCGUGGCAGCGACCGGAGAAAGCUUGACAGCAGCGUCGUUUCUGGAGUACAGCAGCAGCUCAAAGCAGCGGCGAAGUAUGGCGCUAAGGGGAUCAGAAAAACACUCAGAGUAGCGUCGUUUUCCGUUGCUUUACAAACAAAUAAUUAUACUCGGAUGAAACAAN
RNAcentral lists this long non-coding RNA (922 nucleotides) under Salvia miltiorrhiza (redroot sage). RNAcentral's name for it is "long non-coding RNA (SMIL_LNC002835)". Lineage: Eukaryota; Viridiplantae; Streptophyta; Magnoliopsida; Lamiales; Lamiaceae. The record is from RNAcentral.